GUUAACACUGUGUUGCAAAAUGCUCCAGCUGUGGCGAUGCUGAGCUCUUGCCUGCAGUUUUCACAAUGUUUAGAAACAGAGGAGUGACAAGUUUAGCCUUUAAGAAGUCAGUUACUGCCUUUAUAAUAUGGAACAAAUGGUCUUGCCCUAUGGACAACAUAAAACAGGUUUAUAUUUCACAACAUCUCAGAAAUGCUGCAUGUACAAGUCCAGUGACCAAAAAAAAGAGAUAAUUCAGAAAAUGCAUCAAGAUUAUGUCCACAGGCACUGUGAACAGGGAUUUCAGCAAAUAUAACACUCUGGGAGUGUCAAUAAAAUAUAGAGAUACAACUAGAAGAGGAGGUAU
This 346-nucleotide long non-coding RNA is filed under the name Anas platyrhynchos platyrhynchos (common mallard). RNAcentral's name for it is "lncRNA (ENSAPLG00000021407.1)". Lineage: Eukaryota; Metazoa; Chordata; Aves; Anseriformes; Anatidae. The record is from RNAcentral.